This 105-nucleotide small nuclear RNA is filed under the name Zalophus californianus (California sea lion). Lineage: Eukaryota; Metazoa; Chordata; Mammalia; Carnivora; Otariidae. The record is from RNAcentral.
AUGCUCACUUUGGCAGCAUAUUAAAAUUGGAACAAUACAGAUUAGCAUGGCCCCUGCACCAAGAUGACAUGCAAAUUCAUAAUAUAAGUAGCUAACAAAAUUCUU